CAGUCGAGCGGAACGAAGAUAGCUUGCUAUCAGGCGUCGAGCGGCGGACGGGUGAGUAAUGCUUAGGAAUCUGCCCAGUAGUGGGGGAUAGCCCGGGGAAACUCGGAUUAAUACCGCAUACGCCCUUUUGGGGAAAGCAGGGGAUCUUCGGACCUUGCGCUAUUGGAUGAGCCUAAGUCGGAUUAGCUAGUUGGUGGGGUAAAGGCCCACCAAGGCGACGAUCCGUAGCUGGUCUGAGAGGAUGAUCAGCCACAUCGGGACUGAGACACGGCCCGAACUCCUACGGGAGGCAGCAGUGGGGAAUAUUGGACAAUGGGCGCAAGCCUGAUCCAGCCAUGCCGCGUGUGUGAAGAAGGCUUUCGGGUUGUAAAGCACUUUCAGUGAGGAGGAAGGCUUUCAGAUUAAUACUCUGGAGGAUUGACGUCACUCACAGAAGAAGCACCGGCUAACUCCGUGCCAGCAGCCGCGGUAAUACGGAGGGUGCAAGCGUUAAUCGGAAUUACUGGGCGUAAAGCGCGCGUAGGUGGUUGAGUAAGCGAGAUGUGAAAGCCCCGGGCUUAACCUGGGAACGGCAUUUCGAACUGCUCGGCUAGAGUGUGGUAGAGGGUAGUGGAAUUUCCUGUGUAGCGGUGAAAUGCGUAGAUAUAGGAAG
RNAcentral lists this ribosomal RNA (652 nucleotides) under bacterium. RNAcentral describes it as "bacterial SSU rRNA". It matches the Rfam family "Bacterial small subunit ribosomal RNA", at positions 59 to 703 of the family's 1533-position model. The record is from RNAcentral.